This 301-nucleotide ribosomal RNA is filed under the name uncultured bacterium. RNAcentral's name for it is "partial 16S ribosomal RNA". It matches the Rfam family "Bacterial small subunit ribosomal RNA", at positions 509 to 807 of the family's 1533-position model. The record is from RNAcentral.
CAGUAGCCGCGGUAAUACGAAGGGGGCUAGCGUUGCUCGGAAUGACUGGGCGUAAAGGGCGCGUAGGCGGAUUGUUUAGUUAGGCGUGAAAUUCCUUGGCUUAACCUGGGGACUGCGCUUAAUACAGGCAGUCUAGAGUGAGGAAGAGGGUUGUGGAAUUCCCAGUGUAGAGGUGAAAUUCGUAGAUAUUGGGAAGAACACCGGUGGCGAAGGCGGCAACCUGGUCCUUGACUGACGCUGAGGCGCGAAAGCGUGGGGAGCAAACAGGAUUAGAUACCCCAGUAGUCCCUGUCUCUUAUAC